This 2096-nucleotide long non-coding RNA is filed under the name Rattus norvegicus (Norway rat). RNAcentral describes it as "long non-coding RNA NONRATT020499". Lineage: Eukaryota; Metazoa; Chordata; Mammalia; Rodentia; Muridae. The record is from RNAcentral.
AGUUAGGGAUGUAGUGGGGGACAACUACAGAGCUUGUCUUGUGUUCCUAGGGCACAUGCCGUGUCCCAACUGCAGAUUUUUGCAGAGGCAGGGAGGAGCCAACUAUGCCAUAGGAGAAGCAGAGGGCGGGAAGGGCUGUGUCCUGCCCCAGGCUCCCUGGGGGCUUACUGUGUAAACUUUAGUGGCCAUUCACAGCAGGUUCCCAGUAGAAAUGCUUCCUAUAUCUCCUUGAAAUGUUUAUGCAUUUGUUUUCCUUGGCCAGAGAUGGACAGCUGCAGAGUGCCUGGCUGAGGAAGUUGGUUUCCCUGCAAUGACCUUGUUUAUCGGCCUGGGGAGGAAAAGUAUCUUUUCAAUGAAACCCACUUAGUCUCCUUGCCAGGGGCUCUUUGGCAGGGCUAGAGAAAACAAACAAUUCCCAGCAUUACUGCAGAAGGUUGACCCAACAAAGCACAGAGCUUGCUCUUCUCGGAGCCCUGAUGCAGAUACACAAGUACUACGCUGUGGAGAGGAAGGUAGGCAGAGAUGGGUAUAACUGCUCCCAGGCUUUGAAGCCUUUUCAGUAACACUCUUAGGGCUGUAGGACCGAAACCCCUCCUCACAAGGGGACAGUGUUCUCUGUGGGUGCAGUGGUAGGCGUCACAGCCCUCUCCCGAACUGCAUUAAAAACAUUAAUGCUCACAUACAUAUGUGCUAAGGGCCUGUACUUUUCUGUCUCUGUUACUCUAAGUGGAGACAAAUUCCUACUCUUUUUCUGUUGACUUUGCUUUCUCUUUAGCAUUUGCUUCUUGAUCUAGAGAGGGACACACAGGCCGUGACUGUUGAUUUUUGACAUUAUGCAGCGUGUGUGGAACCUGUGUAAUGGCCACUUAACUCCAAACUCUCCUGAGGAAAGUCCUCCCUUCCCCUGAGAUGUUCAUCUGAACAGGUGCCGGGGCAGCCUGUUUUCACUUCCCAGCCUUGCUCCAGGAGACCUCCAGACCCAGAACCACCCCUGGCUCUUUCAGAGAAGAGGGUCAGCCAGACAGUUGUUUGCUGUUUUGACUUUGUAUUGAUUCUUUUCGAGUUUCCCAUCAUGCACCUCAGUCCUGCUCAUCUCCUCAUAGCCAUCCUUUGCCCUUGCAACCUCCCCAGCCAAACAAAAAACAAAACAGCCCCCUCCCCCCCAAGCAAAGCAGAGAAAACAUCUCAUUGUAGAAGCUGUAUCAUGUCACUGUGUGUCCCCUUUGGUCCACGCACCUUCACUGGUAAAUGUUCAUUGCAAUGAGUCAUUGGUCUGGUUUGAGGUCUCUGGCUUCUGUGACACCAUUAAUAUUGAAUCCUCACUGGUACUUCUUCCAGUUAUCCUGUUGUUGCCCUGUGUCAUGGAGAUCCUGCAGCUUUGACAGCAGAACCGACCCUUUUACUUGUCCCAGCUGCUCACAGAUGAUGUAGAUUUUGGGGUGGGCCAACUCAGAGCCCUGGAUCUGGGCCUGUGAGGUAGCUGAGUUGGUCAGCCCUUGGCUGUCUCUUAUCAGCACCACCAGGGUGAGCUCUCCAGCACUGCCUUGUCUAGGCCACCCCAUGCCUCCAUUGCAGGAAGCAAUGUUAACUCUCUUGCUCUCAUGCCCAUGCUCUCACCUGCACCCACACCUCCAGAGCCAGCUCCACUGUGCUGCCCAGUCAAGGUUCAGGACCCACUCUCCCAAGUGCUGCAGCCUGAAAGGGGCAAGGACAGCUCUUUUGCUCUCAUGACACCCCUCCCCCCUCAACCGGGGUCAGUUCCUCCUACUGCCACAGGUGGUGGGGGAUGAGAGGGCUAAGGGCACCCCUGCACCCACGCCACCUUAAUGCAGACCAAUGGCAGGCCAACUAUGCCUCUCUCACAGCUCACACUCUUGGGGUGAGCUCACCCACACCCCUGUACUGCCCAGUGAAGAUGCAGGACCUACUCUCCUGAGUGCUGAGUGCUGGGCUAGCUCCACUGGGCUCAGUCUUCCCAAUUGCUGGAGGUGGCAAGAGGUGUGGGGAUCACCUCUCCCAAACCACCACUACCAGGGCCCACUCCAUGGUGCUGCCUGGGUGAGGUACAGGGCCCCUUUCACUGUCAGUGAGAUGAA